CAGGAAAAAUGCAAGGGUUCUUUGAUAGAUAAAAUGAAGGAAACUUUCAGAUCAACAGCAACCCAGGUUGACUGAGUAUCACCAGUGUUUUGUAGGAGACUCAAUUUAUAGCAUUCUUCAUAAUAUUUUUGUGUCGCAUAUAGAUUUUCCUGUGAAAUUCCACAAAUGAUCACCCCUAAAACGAAUGCUCUCCAUUGCACUGGCCAUCUGGC
This 212-nucleotide long non-coding RNA is filed under the name Homo sapiens (human). RNAcentral describes it as "HSALNT0383465". The record is from RNAcentral. Lineage: Eukaryota; Metazoa; Chordata; Mammalia; Primates; Hominidae.